UUCAAAAGUUCCUUUGCCAGAAAAUUUAAGUUAAUCCGUCUAUUUGCAUUCAAUUAUCGAAAGCACCAGUAGUCACUAUGAGCAUCUCAUUCUAGCACCAUAUUGCAUCCUCCAAAUGGCUUUUGGAAAAAAAGAGAUAGUCACCGGAUAAGUCGAUUCGAAUCUACACGCUGUAGAUAUAGAAUAGGUUGCGACUGUGACGGUAUUUCUAUAAAUGUCAAAAUAACUCUCUCGAUGCCAAGUGACUAUUGUUGUUUUUAUAAUGUUAUUUCGUUUAUUUUCUAAAAUGCAUCGAGAUUGAGUAUUCCGCGUUCGCGAUUAUUUAUUGUCGACACGUAAAAUACCACGCAAUGUGCUUGCCCUACGCGAUUUAGAGAUAUAUCUUUACUCUUGAAAAUGUCAAAUUGUUUUUUAGUGUUUUGUAUGUAUUUUUGUUUCAAAAUGCGGUUAAAACUCUUGCACAUAGUGUAAAUGAGUGUUGUGUCUGUAUUUGAAAUGAUUUUAGAGUUAAUUAUAUGUGUUAAUGUUGUAAUAUUGCUCAGUGAAGUGUGUUGGUGAGGUUAGUUUUUCUUCCCGCUAUUAUGAGGUCCCUGUUCACAUAUCCUGGCUGCGGUUCGGUGAGUAAUAGCGAGUAAGUUUUCUAUGGGAGGAUUUCUAAAAGAAACGCUGAGUAAAGAUCUACAAUAAUAGUAUCUAGUUAUAAAAAGUGUGAACUUUGUUAAGCUUACAAAAUUGACACAGAUGUCUAGAACUUGGUCUCUGAGAGACAUUUGUGCAUGAAAAUGGCUAAUAGAUACACUUUUAACACUAAUAAAUACUUGUACAAUGUCUUCUGGAACUUAUUUUAUCUAUAAAGCAUGAAAUGAUACUUUAAAAACUUUGUUAUUGUUUAGUCAUUUAACUCUUGCAAAGGAAUGAACAAAUACUCAAAAAGAUUGACUCAAAAGCAAAAGCCUUGAAUGCUACUUAAAACUUUUGAGUAAAAGUUUGGUUGUUCUCUUAACAUUAUUUGACUAUCAGGUAAGUAAGAAACAUAACUGGUCUAUAAAAUUAUAUGUUUUAUGAAUAGACAUACUUCUAAGUAUGUUACUUUGGAUGAAUGUAUGUUCGUAUUGUUAUACUCAUACAAUUAUUAUUGUUAUUCUCAUAUAUACAAACAAAUCUUUAGAAGUCGCACAAGUACGCAACUCAUAUUUUAUUUUAGAAAUAAAGGACGGCAUAUAUAUAAUUUUACAAAGCUUUUAAAGAAUGGGUUCGAAUCCCAUGCAUAAGACAUUAUCAGCCAUGACCAGUAAGUACAAAAAAGGUGUUUUGAGCCGUUGGUAUGUAUUUACUGCUAAUAUUGGGUUCGAUUCCCAAAUACUAAUUACUAAUAGUAUAAUUGCAAAAGCAACGCCGUCUGGCUUUAAAGGUAAAACUGCUGAACCGAUUUAACUGAAAUGUAAGUACACAUGUAAUGUAAGGUACACAUGCCUGAAUAAGAACAAAGGCUUAUUUAUAUCCAGGUGCAUAGUGUGUUCAGGACUCGGGCAGAACCGCAGGGAUCAGUUAGUUCCCCUUAUAAUGUAUGUUGUAUGUUUGUUUAAAAUUACAAGUUCCUCGUAUUGAGAAACCUGGCCACUGAUGUGGAGUUUUAAUAACGAGUGCCAAUACUUACAGUAUAAGUCUUUAUUGCAAUGUAACAAUUUACUUUGGGUUCGAGUCCCAAUACUUUAAAGUAGUAUAAGUUUUUUUAUUGCAAAGCUUAACAUAUAGUUUGGGUUCGAUCCCCAAUACUUUUAACUGCCUAUUAAAAUCAAGAAUGUGUGAUUUCGUUUUUCUAAGUGAACAUCAUGGCAUUUAUGAAAAUGAUUCAAGAAUAAUAAUAUGUGGGUUCGACUCCUAACAUAUUACUGACUUUUAUAACUAUGCUUUUUUGGGCAUACACUGAAAGACUAUAGGUUCGAAUCCUAUAGCAAAAAAAAGUAGAAAAUAUCAACAAUUGGCUGUGGGUUCGACUCCCAUUUAGCUGACAGUGGUUUAAAGUAGUUAUGUGACUAAAAGAGUAUUUGCUGCAAAUAUGUGCUUAAAAAUAAAGCGAUUGUGUUUUGCUUAUAAGUAAAAUAGAUGUCUGAAGUGAUUUAAUGUUAUAGCUGGAUAUAUUGGUAUGGGUUCGAUUCCCAUUUAGAAAUAAAAUACUUGUAACAGAGAGGAGACUACUAUUUAAUAAUGUUAAAUAGGUUCGAGCCCUAUUUACAUUUAAUUAUUUUGCAAUUCAUAUUAUUUUGAUGUAUGCAGGUUCGAUUCCUGCUAAAUCAUAAAUAAGAAUUAUGGUGUUCGAAUGGAUAAUUAUAAUAAGUGGUGACUAUUAUAAUUAAUUUGUACCCUGUAGGGUUCAAUUCCCUAUCACAGUUAUGGUAUUCGAUGUGAGCCAAGAUAAUUUGACUAAAACAUUCUAAAGAAGAAAGGAUUGGGACCUAACUUUAGUUAAAUUUCCAAGCAUUUCUUCCUCUUCUUGAAUAUUUGUUGGUUAUUUGUUAACUAGCCAUAUUCACGUACAAAGUAUGAGUAUAUUCAUCUGUGUUUAGACGUUUAGAUCUCCUCCAUUUUUUAAAUUCUUUGAUGAAAAAUAUUAUUUCAAUAACCAUGGUCCCAUUACUUCUUUAAACUUUUAAAAACUUUUAAAAUCGAUUUUUUAUAUAAAUUCGCGAAUAUUUGAAACUUGUUAAAUUAUUUACGUAUUUAUUUAGAUUGUAAGGAUAUUGUUGUGAACUGUUUUUUUUUUUAUUAAAAUAAAGACAACAAAAAAAAAAUGAUUAAAAAUAAAAGUAGAUGAUUCCAAAUAAAGAUUAUGGACGGUUUGGUGUACUUAUUUACCUGUCCUUACUUCCCUUCCUAUCUAACUUCUUUAUUUUUAAGACUACUUUAAUUCUGUGCAUGUUCUCUUGACAAAAGCAUCAAAUUAAUGAGAAUGUCAAGACAGCAUGAACAGAGAUCAAAUUAAAUAAAUGCAUAUAAAACAAACAAGGUGUUUUAUUAUUUCCAAGGUGUACUAAAUAUUCUGGUUUUGCUCACAGUGCCAGCUGAAUUUAUUUAUGGGAGGACAGGCGCCGGCCAGCUAAUACUCAACGGUUUUACAUUCUAUUUGAAAAAUAACCAAACCCAGGGCAAGAAGCAGUGGUAUUGUUCCGCAAGAGACACCCAGGGUUGCCGUGUUGACGUCAUCACAUACAAGGGUGUAGACGGUAUAGAUUAUAUAUCAAUAUUCCGUGGACGACAUAUACACGAACCUCCCCGUUUGCGGAAAUGUCGCGACGGCAGAUAUAUUAGAGAUUAUAAGUAUAAAUAAAAAUUAAAUUUUUACACAUUUUUUUUUAUUAUAUUUUAUUUUACAAAAAAAUGUGAUAUACUUACUUAUUGUAACGACGUGUUUUUCUAACGCACGUUUCUGAUGUAGGGACCUGCUACCUCGUAGAUUAACAUUAAUAUGUGACUAUUUUAGGAAAUACAGUAUUCUAGUAAACAUGUGUUGGUUUUAUUGACCCGCCUUAUAACUGUGUAUGUGAUUAGCGUAGAUAAAUAUUUACUCGACAGAAUUGCCAAUAUUAUUGUUAAAUAGACGAAUUCGUUUUAAAAAGAAUCACAAGAAUGUAUAAUUUGUCUAUUUUUAAAAACAAUAAUUAUUGCUAUUGAAAUGAUGUCCUUAAAUGAAAUUCAAGCAAUCGUUUUUAUUUUCUGUUUACUUACAAUGUUUUAGAAAAAAAUAAUGAAAUGUAAAUGUAAAUCUAAAUGACUAAUUUUAAAUAUGUUUUCUGUUUAUUUUGUGCAAAAUUGUGCAAAUUGAUUCACCGUUUCACAGGUGAAUUAUAAGUAGCUGUGCGUUAUCAUUACGAUUUUUUGCAUAGCAUUGCAUUUGAUAACAUCAACAUGCGACUGUUUUGGUUCACACACACUUUAACCCAUCAAACUUUAGCAUAAGUACCUAUCAUUAGUACUUUUCUUCAUUAGAAAAAUCUAGCCACAGAAAUAAGCUCUAAUAUAAAUAUUGUUCUGGUAAUAAGACAUAAGGUUUUUUCAGGUAUUUACUACCUCCCGUCACAUAGAACUGGCAGCAUGGUGUUGAUUUACAACGACAACAAAUAUUGGAUCAAUAAUAGAUACCAGAAUACCAUUAACUGGACCUGUAGGGACCGCAAGCGGCUUGGGUGCAACAGCUGCGUGCAAACGACCAUCGAGGGAAGGUAUGUCAAACAUAAAGGAUUUCACAAUCAUGAGGACAAUUAUACUAAGUAUAACUUCAACGAUUGAUGUUCAGAACUACUUUGGCCAGUUAUAACUUCUGUUGAGGGACAGUGGUCUGAAUAAAUAUUUUUUCAAUCAUUUAUAAUGAAAAUCUCAUUGAAACAGAAGUGCCUCGUUUCUUAGUAGCGUCUUGUUCUUAUGCCAGUUCUGUGCUUGGUGAUGUCGAAAGUAAGAUCUUGAAUAUGAGAUUUUCAUGGUAAAUUCCAAAUAAAAUCCGAUUAUUUAAUCUAUGAACGACAAAA
Helicoverpa armigera (cotton bollworm) is the source of this 4523-nucleotide long non-coding RNA. RefSeq lists it as uncharacterized. The record is from RefSeq and is a predicted model, not a curated record. The transcript is spliced from 2 exons. Lineage: Eukaryota; Metazoa; Arthropoda; Insecta; Lepidoptera; Noctuidae.